Pectinophora gossypiella (pink bollworm) is the source of this 106-nucleotide long non-coding RNA. RefSeq lists it as uncharacterized. The record is from RefSeq and is a predicted model, not a curated record. The transcript has 2 exons. NCBI's taxonomy places the organism in Eukaryota, Metazoa, Arthropoda, Insecta, Lepidoptera, Gelechiidae.
UAUACCUGUCAUUUUCUUAUCCGCCGAAAAGGAAAGGGACGGAUGAUUUACACACAACAAACAGCUUUGAUUAAUUUUAGGAAGAAUGAGUAAAUUAAUGAAUAAC